Molecule: long non-coding RNA, 5800 nt
Filed under: Homo sapiens (human)
Lineage: Eukaryota; Metazoa; Chordata; Mammalia; Primates; Hominidae
Description: HSALNT0186851
Source: RNAcentral
CCGCGACGCCCCCCCGCUGUCGCCUGGCCCGCGACGCACCGAGGCCUGAGGACCCGAAAGCCGGGCGCGGGGAGAUGACCGGUGGCUCGUGACGGUCCCACGGGCAAAAUCUUCCAUCGCCCGGGGCUGAGACUUGUCAAACUGCCCUCUACGGUCACCCGGAAAGUAGGAGGCUUUUUCUGCAGAGGGGAAAAAAAUCAAAAAGAGCCGUUCCAUCCCCCCUCCAAGGACUGGGUUUGAAUUGCUUUUCAUCUGCAGUGGCUGUGAUUCAGCGUCCCUCUUAGCAGCAGGCAAUGACAGAGGCAGGAGAGGGGAAAAAAAAAAAGAAAGAAAGAAAAAACACAGCAAAUGAAUCAAACGGACGUAGCAGGCAAGAGUGUGGUUAUCGUUGGACCAGGAUUCAGGAUCUGACUGAGUAGCUGACUCUUAAUCCAGUUUGUGUUGAUCACCAGGAGGAUCUGGACCUCAGUAUUACCACAUCUAGAGCUAUAAUCACAUCCCUGUUAAGCCUUCCUGAGAUCACACCAAAUGUCCUUGAUGGGAAUUGUAAACAACCCUUACUUCUGGUUUCUAAUGAUAUUCCAGGAAAGGAGCCUAACUAGAGUCAGUGAUAUGCCAACUCCACCUUUGCCUUCCACCAUGUUUGGAAGCUCCCUGAGGCCUCACCAGGAGCAGAUGCUCGUCCCAUGCUUCCUAUAAGCCUGCAGAACUGUGAGCCAUAAUAAACUGUGAAUUAUAAAUUGCCUUUAUAGCAAUGCAAAUGGACCAGUACAGAUGGGAUGCUGGGAAGACAGUUGUUUCCACCUUCAGUAAAGUCCGUGGAACACAGUUGUGACUAUAUUCUAGGCCAGCCAAGAUGCUUGUACUCAGAAAGGAGUGGUCUCAGGACCAUAAGAAAGUGAAAAAAUAAAAAUAAGAAAAUAAAGAAGGGAUUGUCAAUGAAUCAGAAUUCAUCAAGGUCAAAGUCUUAGGAAAUUCCUUCAUGAGGAAGUCUAGGGGGGCUAUGGAAAUGAAAUUUUUAAACAAAUAGGUAUGUGGUGCUGGCAGGAAUAAAUUAUGGACUUAUGAAUAUAACAUAAGAUUCUUUAUUACCUGGUCUCACCCGUCUUUCCACCUCUGCCCCCCUUCUUGCCCGACUCUGUGUAUCACCCAUAAUAAACUACUUACAGCUUCCUAGUGUUAAAUUUACCCUAAAGCUGCCUCCUUCAAUAUUUUAAGUUUAACCUAAAGGUUCUUCAUACAUAGUGAACUAUAACCCAAUGAUUAAACAGAUUGUAACCUACUCUUGUACCAGUCACCAAGUUUCAGCCAAUCAGAGGUGGCCAACUGUUCAAACCAUGCUCAAAUAAGGGAAAUGUCAUGGUGUAACUAAUCCAGCUGUUUCUAUACCUUACUUCUGUUUUCUUAGGUCACUUUCCUUUUUUGUCCAUAAAUUCUCUCCAACCACUCAGCAGCACUGGAGUCACUCCAAAGCUAUCCUGGUUCAGGGGUCUGUCUGAUUCACAAGUCAUUCUUUGUUCAAUUGAGCUCUGCUAAAUUUAAUUUGUCUGAAGUUUUUCUUUUAACAGAUGGUGUCAGAAAUGGACCCCAAAGUAGAGCUCCCAGUGAUCCCCCAGGAGCACUGAGUGACCACAAGGGGUACCUGCUGGGCCCGUCCUCUCGCAGUGUCCACUGCUCUCUUACAGCAACUGGAGAUUGUGGCUGCAUUCUCUCUCAGAUUCUGAAGCUCCAUACAUUGCCGUUUUCAGCUGUUCAAGCUUGCUUGAGCAAAUUUUUGAUCUUAGCUGAGUUUGGAAGUCGAUAGACAUUGGACUGGGUCCAGGAUUUGAUUGGAUCUGAUAAUUAACUGGCUUGGAUCCAGUUAGAUGCCUCGGUUAUCUGACUGGGUCAGAUAGAAACCGCCAGUAAAUAUUUUAAUAACAAUACUGCAGGGGUAUGAACUCUGGCUUUAAGAAACUCACAAGGAAUUUUAUGUUCUAUACCCUUUGUUUCUUUUUCUUGUGUGCUUCGGUCAGGAAAAAUCAUUAGUCAAGUUAAUCAAGGGGAUCUGAGAGCCAAAUACAAGAUUCAACGUAAAAAUGGAAUCCUUGGGCUAGGCGUGGUGGCUCAGGCCUGUAAUCCCAGGACUUUGGGAGGCUGAGGCAGGCGGAUCACCUGACCUUAGGAGUUCGAGACCAGUCUGGCCAACAUGGUGAAACCCCGUCUCCACUAAAAAUACAAAAAUUAGCCAGGCGUGGUGGUGGGCACCUGUAAUCCCAGCUACUUUGGAGGCUGAGGCAGGAUAAUCACUUGAACCCAGGAGGCAGAGGUUGCAGUGAUCUGAGAUUGCACCACUGCACUCCAGCCUGGGCAAAAGAGCGAGACUCCAUCUCAUAAAUAAAUACAUAAAUAAAUAAAGAAAUCCUUAAUUUCUGCGGAACUGAGUGCUCUACCUUCUGGCUACACCUACGUAUACCUGUAUGAGGUAUAGGCCCUGGAAGCAGCAAACACUUACAGAAAUGGUGAAAUCUUACUAAAGGGAAAAGAAAGCUGGAUAAAGUAUUUAUAGAAGAUAGAGGACCUGUGGUGGCUCAUGCCUGUAAUCCAAGGUGGAAGGAUUGCUUGAGGCCAGAAGUUCAAGACCAGUCCAAGCAACAUAGCAAGGCCCCAUCUCUACAAAAAAUGAAAAUAAAAUUAGCCGAGCGUGAUGGCUCAUGCCUGUAGUUCUAGCUUCUAGAGAGGCUGAGGCAGGAGGAUUGCUUGAGUCCAGGAGUUCAAGAUUACAGUGAGCUAUGGUCACACCACUGCACUCCAGCCUGGGUGAUGGAGUGAGACUGUCUCAAUAAAAAGACAAAAAGGCUGGCCAGGGGCAGUGGUUCAUGCCUGUAAACCCAGCACUUUGGGAGGCAAAGGCAGGAGGAUUGCUUAAGCCCAGGAAUUUGAGAUCAGCCUGGACAACAUGGUGAGACCCCCAUCUCUACAAAAAUUUUUUUUAAAAGUUACCCAGGCAUGGUGUUGCACAUCUGUGUUCCCAGCUACUGGGGAGGCUGAGACGGGAGGAUCACUUGAGUCCAGGAAGUUGAGAGGUUGAGGCUGCUGUGAGCUGUGAUUGUGCCACUGCACUUUAGCCUGGACAACAGAGGGAGACCCUGUCAACAACAACAACAACAACAAAAAAGCAAAACAUCAUAGGCUGCAGAAAUAAACUUUCUUGUCAAUUGUGUCUUUAACCAUGACCAUUUUGAGUCAUUUCCACAGUGAGUUGCCUAAUUUUGAUGCAUUUCUGAAAACUCUUUAUAAGCAAGUAAAAUCCUAGAGAAUUGUGCCUUCAAGGAGACUCAUGGAAAGGAUGGAAAGAACUCUUGAAUACAUGUUUCUGAUAGCUUUAUGAUCAUAUCAUUUGGACUGGGUAAGAAUUCCCAGAACUCAUGAAGAGACUGACUAUUUAUUAAUCCAAGCAGGAAAAGAAUUAAUUGAAUACCAAGGAAAUACUGUGCCAGAGAUUUUCAUGCUAAAUCAGUCAGCACCGAAAUCGUUAAGAUGUGUAGUUUGAAUGAACUCCAUGAUCCUAGUCAAAUUUCCUAUGAUGACCCAUUUAAUAAACAGUGCUAUGCACCUGAAUUGGAGAAACAGAAUUGAUACUUAAAUCCAAUGUUAAUCAUAGAUUCAUGGAAAGCCUAAAUGGCUGCUUGGGUCUUCCUGAGCCCUUAAAGCUUCCAUUAUUAAAGGCUCUGCACUUUAUAAGUUAUCACUGAAGAGAGAAAAUGAUCCAGAUUUAAAAUACACAUAUUGGUGUGGUGAAUGUUCUAAAUUGCGAAAAUGGUUUAUGACCAACAUUUGGUUUGUCAUGCUCACAAUCCUGGAAAUACAUUCAAAACUUCAGGUACAUUUCUGCUACCUGAUGGGCUAUUUGAAUAUAUAGAGAGGGAUUUCAUUCAAUUGCCAUUUUCAUUGCAUGUUUUUUGGUUGUAUAGAAGCUUUCCCAUGCAAGGAGGCUGAUGCUGUUAUUACAGUAGCUAAAAGGUUAGUAGGAAAUGUGUUUUCCCCCAUGGGGCAUUCCUGGAGAAAUCUCUAGCAAUAAAGGUACUUGUUUGACUGGACAAGUUGUAAAACAGUUUAAUAAGGUUUUUUUUAGGUGUCAUAGCAUUAGGCAAAGCUAACUGAAUUGACUGGAUUGUCAUAGUCAAACAUAUUGCAGAUCCGCUUCCAAUAGAAGACAAUGAAAUAGUCACUGGAAAGCCUGUGCUCCUAAUUUUAGAACCUCAUGUAUCUUCUGCUCCUAAACUCUGAUAGGACUAAAUGCUGUGAGGCCUCAAUGCAUUAUGUUAAUGUGUAUUUUCACCAGGUCAAGGAAGCUUUUCCUGAUCCACUAACUAAGGACAAUCAAACCCUUCAUGAUCUAGAAUCUGGAGACUGUGUCUUCUGGGAAUAGUAUCAGAGAAAGACUGCCCUUACUGCCCACAUGUAGCAAAACUUUGAGACGUUGAAUUAUGGGUCCAUAAUCUCACAACUCAGAGGGGCACCUCUAGACUCUUGGAACUGUAUAUCUAUUGGAGACUUUAAGGUAAAGCUGAACAGAGAGACGUUUUUCUCCAGAAGCAGACAGCACCAUAGUCAUGGACAGCUUUCCCAAGAUCACAGAUCAAGACUUCUCUGCCGUCAUGAGACUCAUAACCUCUUAAUUUUUUCUUGCUUAUGCUUCUGUGAACAAUAGAAUUGGAAAAGGGGUGGUCCCGCGUGCACCCAUAGGGUAUACUUUUAUUUGUGGAGGAUUUUGCUGCCAACCUUAUACAUGGGCAAACUUAUGCCUUCAUGGAUGGAAGAUAAAGGGCUAAUAUGGGUUAGAAAUUUUAAUGGUACCUUUGUUUCUCCAUAAUCAUUCAGAAACAGAACACUGGUCCACUCUUGUUAACCUACAUCAUAGGUUGAAGAGAACAUUGCCAGGAGGCCUUCAUCCUUCCAGAUGGGCACCAUUUGUUGGGUCUUUUUCCGUGGUAUGAAGAAAAUGAAGCAAUGAUUAGAAAUUGGUCCCUCGGCCGGGCACAAUGGCUCAUGCCUGUAAUCCCAUCACUUUGGCAGGCCGAGGCGGGUGGAUCACCUGAGGUCAGGAGUUUGAGACCAGCCUGACCAAUGUGGUGAAACGCCAUCUCUACUAAAAAUACAAAAAUUAGCUGGGUGUGAUGGUGCACACCUGUAAUCCAGCUACUCGGGAGGCUGAGACAGGAGAAUUGCUUGAACCUGGGAGGCAGAGGUUGCAGUGAGCCAAGAUCACCCCACUGCAUUCCAGGUUGGGCAACAGAGCAAGACUCUGUCUCAAAAAAAAAAGAAGAAAGAAAGAAAUUGAUCCCUCAUAAUAGGCUGUAUAGCAGAUUCUACUGCAAAGGCUAUGGUUGCACAACAGACUUCUUUGAAUUUGCUUGCUAAACUUUUACUGGAUAAUACUGGGAUUACAGGUGUGAGCCACUGUGCCCAGCCUCUCCUGUUUAACUGUAUUCAUUCUAAUGUUUACUUACUUCUUUAAUUUGUAAAAUUGGGUCACUUAGAGUUUUUUUAGCCUAUCUUGCCAUUUAGCCACUGUUACUGAUAAUUUGGAUGGAAAAGAAAAAUAAAUUAUAUCACCUCUCAUCUUCAGUGUAUAUAUGUGUUAACUUAGUAAAUAUAGUAUUCUUUCUCGUUCCUAAUGAAAAUUUAGUUUACGUACUGAAACACUGCAAACUUUUAUAAAUAUUGUGAUGUAUUUGACCAAUACAAAGGAUCUUUUUAGAAACAGCAAACAGUUCUCAGAUUAUAGGAAUUACUCAUUUAAUGAUAGUUUCUUCUU